Molecule: ribosomal RNA, 446 nt
Filed under: uncultured bacterium
Lineage: Bacteria
Description: partial 16S ribosomal RNA
Rfam family: Bacterial small subunit ribosomal RNA
Source: RNAcentral
CCUACGGGAGGCAGCAGUCGAGAAUCAUUCACAAUGGGGGAAACCCUGAUGGUGCGACGCCGCAUGGGGGAAUGAAGGUCUUCGGAUUGUAAACCCCUGUCAUGUGGGAGCAAAUUAAAAAGAUAGUACCACAAGAGGAAGAGACGGCUAACUCUGUGCCAGCAGCCGCGGUAAUACAGAGGUCUCAAGCGUUGUUCGGAAUCACUGGGCGUAAAGGGUGCGUAGGCUGGUUCGUAAGGCGUGUGUGAAAGGCGCGGGCUCAACCCGCGGACGGCACAUGAUACUGCGAGACUAGAGUAAGGGAGGGGGAACCGGAAUUCUCGGUGUAGCGGUGAAAUGCGUAGAUAUCGAGAGGAACACUCGUGGCGAAGGCGGCUUCCUGGACAUUAACUGACGCUGAGGCACGAAGGCCAGGGGAGCGAAAGGGAUUAGAUACCCUUGUAGUC